GGGGAUUGAACCUAGGGGUGCUCUACCACUGAACUUGUUCUUUUUAAAAAAUGUCUUUUUUUAGUUGUAGUUUAUUUUUAUGUGCUGCUAAGGAUCAAAUCCCGUGCCUCACAUGUGCUAGGUGAGCACUCUACCACUGAGUCACAACCCCAGCCCUCAGACCUUGUUCUUGUUAUUUUUUUUAUUUAGAAACAGGAUCUUUUUAAGUAACUAAGGUUAGCCUCGAACUUGUGACCCUCCUGCCUCAGCCUCCUGAUAUGCUGGGCUUACAGUUGUGGGCUUCUAUACCCAGUUACUUCCUUUUCUUAUGGAAUGAAAUAAUGGCUAAGAGUGCAAUUUAGGGUAGCAUGGUAGCUGCAUGUUUAAUUUUUUACAAACUGCUAUUUUUUUUCCAGAUUAGCUGUACUAUCUUACAUUCCCACCAGCAAUGCAUGAGUUUUUCUCUAAAUCCUUGACAGUAUUUGGUGGCAUCACUAUUUUUUAUUUUAGCCAUUCUGAUAGGCAUAUAGUACUAGCUCAUUGAAAUUUAGUUUGCAUUUCCUUAAUGGUGUUGAACAUCUUUUCACAUGCUCAUUUGCCUUCAACAUAUUCUCUUCUGUGAACUAUGUGGAAAUCUUUUCCAAUUUUCUAACAGGAUUUAUUUUAAUAAACUUUUAAUUAUUUUUUUUGGUAUUGGGGAUUGAACCCAUAUGUGCUCUACCACUGAACUGUCCCCCUUAACCCUUUCUAUUUUUUAUAUAGGGUCUCAAGUUGCCGAGGCUUGCUUCCAACUUGCAGUCCUUGAGCCAUUCCUCAGCUUCCUGAGUCGCUUCCUGAGUCCUUAGGAUUACAAGGGUGUGCCACCAUGCCUGGCUAAACUUAAUUUUGGAGUAGUUCAUAUUUAUAAAAAAAUUGCUAUAUUGUAGAGAGUUUUGCAUACACUCCUCAUCCAUUUCCCUCUUAUUAAAGUUUAUGCUUUAUUUAGAUUUCCUUAAUUUUCCCCUAUCCUUUUUUUUCUUCCAAGAUUCCUUCUAGGAUACAUUGCAUUUGAUCACCAUGGCCCCUUAGGGCAUUUUUGCUGUGACAGUUUCUCUGGCUUUUCUUGUUUUUGGGUAGCAUGGAAGUUGCAUGUUUAAUUUUUUAAACAUGACAUUUGACAUUUUUGAGGAACACUAGUCAGGUAUUUAUUAGUAGACUGUCCCUCUGUUGGGAUUUUUCUGAUAUUUAUCUCAUUAUUAAACUAGAGCUUUGGGUUUCAGGGAGGAUGAUUAGAG
RNAcentral lists this long non-coding RNA (1253 nucleotides) under Marmota monax (woodchuck). The record is from RNAcentral. Lineage: Eukaryota; Metazoa; Chordata; Mammalia; Rodentia; Sciuridae.